This 403-nucleotide ribosomal RNA is filed under the name uncultured bacterium. RNAcentral's name for it is "bacterial SSU rRNA". It matches the Rfam family "Bacterial small subunit ribosomal RNA", at positions 355 to 774 of the family's 1533-position model. The record is from RNAcentral.
UGGGGAAUAUUGCAAAAUGGGCGAAAGCCCGAUGCAGCAACGCCGCGUGGGCGAUGAAGGCCUUCAGGUCGUAAAGCCCUUUUUGAGGGGAUGAGGAAGGACAGUACCCUCAGAAUAAGCCUCGGCUAACUACGUGCCAGCAGCCGCGGUAAAACGUAGGAGGCGAGCGUUAUCCGGAUUUACUGGGCGUAAAGCGCGUGCAGGCGGAUUGGAGAGUUGGAUGUGAAAGCUCCCGGCUUAACUGGGAGAGGUCGUUCAAUACUUCCAGUCUUGAGUGCAGUAGAGGGAAGUGGAAUUCCGGGUGUAGUGGUGAAAUGCGUAGAUAUCCGGAGGAACACCAGUGGCGAAAGCGGCUUCCUGGACUGUAACUGACGCUCAGACGCGAAAGCUAGGGUAGCAAACA